UGAACGCUGGCGGCGUGCUUAACACAUGCAAGUCGAACGAACCUUCGGGUUAGUGGCGGACGGGUGAGUAACGCGUGGGAAUCUGCCCUCAGGAGGGGGAUAACGGCCGGAAACGGCCGCUAAUACCCCAUAUGCCGAGAGGUGAAAUGAAUUUCGCCUGAGGAUGAGCCCGCGUCUGAUUAGCUAGUUGGUGAGGUAAGAGCUCACCAAGGCAUCGAUCAGUAGCUGGUCUGAGAGGAUGAUCAGCCACACUGGGACUGAGACACGGCCCAGACUCCUACGGGAGGCAGCAGUGGGGAAUUUUCCGCAAUGGGCGAAAGCCUGACGGAGCAACGCCGCGUGAGGGAUGAAGGCCUCUGGGCUGUAAACCUCUUUUAUCAAGGAAGAAGAUCUGACGGUACUUGAUGAAUAAGCCACGGCUAAUUC
RNAcentral lists this ribosomal RNA (426 nucleotides) under uncultured Synechococcus sp. Its description in RNAcentral is "bacterial SSU rRNA". It matches the Rfam family "Bacterial small subunit ribosomal RNA", at positions 30 to 503 of the family's 1533-position model. The record is from RNAcentral. Lineage: Bacteria; Bacillati; Cyanobacteriota; Cyanophyceae; Synechococcales; Synechococcaceae.